Molecule: ribosomal RNA, 253 nt
Filed under: uncultured bacterium
Lineage: Bacteria
Description: partial 16S ribosomal RNA
Rfam family: Bacterial small subunit ribosomal RNA
Source: RNAcentral
AACGUAGGACACGAGCGUUAUCCGGAGUUACUGGGCGUAAAGGGCGAGUAGGUGGUGCGAUAAGACUGGUGUGAAAGCCUUCGGCUUAACCGAGGGAGGACACUGGUGACUGUCGGACUUGAGGCAGAUAGAGGGGUGUAGAAUUCCGGGUGUAGUGGUGAAAUGCGUAGAGAUCCGGAGGAAUACCAGAGGCGAAGGCGGCACCCUGGGUCUGACCUGACACUGAUCCGCGACAGCAUGGGGAGCGAACGGG